GUCUGUCCCUCGGCUCCGGAGGGGGGGGGGGUGUAAUAGCGCGGGAGGUGGGGCUAAGGGGACCCUCAUCCUCCCUUUCCGACAAGUGGGGGUCCUGAGCGCUGCCCAGAAGGGGUCCAGAGAAUGUUGUGGGCUGGGGCACACCCGCCGGGGCAGAAAUUGGAGGACACCACCGACGUCGACAGAAUCCUUUCUAUCCUUCCUUUCAGCUGCCCGGUGUUCUCCACCCCUGCGUUAGCACUCUGUAGUCUGGGGACCUCCCGGGAACGUCCCGGGGCUAGCAACCAAGGGGGCUCUCGGAUGCUCUGUGGAUCGCCGCUUCGCCCUUACUUUGGGGACGGUCACACGCGUCCCGCUUCCCCCGGUCGCUUUAGAUCAGGCGUCUGCGCCCUCCCCGGCUCCUCACCCCCACCCCCAGAGUCAAAUGUGGGCCUCUCCUGGAAAUCCUUUGCGAAGGGGACAAACUUUUGAGUGGACGAAAAUCUAUUGGAGCCUGUCCAGAGCAGUGCUCCAUCACCCAGCCAAGAUGAUGUUGCUGAACAAGUGUAGGCCAAAGCCUGAGGACCACAGUGCUCUGUCUUGACCCUGAUGCCAAAGGGAAUCAUCACACUGGGCCACCCUGCUCUGGGCUCUGGGUGCUUCACCUCCGUGACCCUGCUUCUUGGUUUGAUCACCUGUCAAAUAUGCCUUUUGCACUACAAGGUUGCUCAGCAGUUUUGACUUCCUUAAUAGGCCCUGCUCUGAGACCCUGAGGCUGGCUGGCAUACACUCUGCCUCUGUCUGGAGUUUAUAAUGAGGAUGCAAAUACAGGGAUUCAAAGAAGAGGCCCUAAGUGAGAAGCCCGGGGAUUUGCUAACCAGGGGCAGGGUACCAGUUGUGACUUUGACCUUUAUAGCCUUAACUCACUGUAGACAAUUCUGCAUUUUCCAUUUCCACUCCAUCCCUGUUUCUGGGAGAGAGGUGCUGGUGUCCCCAAGGUUACUGCUCUCUGGGGAUGAGGGUCAGUAUCACAAAUUAAAACCUUAAACUUUCUAAAAACGAAAAGCACAUUUCCCUAUUCUUUGUGUGUUUGGGAGGUUGUGUUUCCCACUAGCCUAGCAGACUCUGACCCCUGAACAUCAGAAUGUGGAUUCCCCUCAUUGUCUACACCAACCCCCCAAGAAAGGCUCAAUCCAGGUGACUGUGGAAAGGAUGAGCCCACACUCACUUCCUCAUCCCUCAUCUGCUUUGAAGGACUCAGGACCUCAGCAGGCUGAACAGCCAUGAGGAGCGAAGCUGAGUGGCUUCCCACCUCCUUUGAGCUCCUCGCAGUUCUGUUUUGUGUGUGGUUUGUCCUCGCCCCUCCUCGGACCUGGAAAAUGAAUGUUUAACCCCGCUCUGCUCAUCUCUCCCUGUGCCCUGUUCCUGUCAGCCUCAAAGCUGCCGGGAGGAAGGACCUGCAGCUUCCAGUCCUGCUCAUAGUCAAUGAAAAUUCAAAUUCUCUUCUCAGCAGAAGGGCAGCUGCCUUCUUCUCCGUUUUCCCUGCACACAUUGAUCUGUCGCGAGGGCACCUGGGGGUCAGAAGAGAGGCCAGGCUCUUUUAAUUUGGUCUGGAAUUAGCAUAUCCUAUCACACCAAAGGCCAGGAUUUCCACAUCCAGGAGCAGGAGGUCUUCACCCAGACCUAGACCUGUUCUUAGACCCCUCAAGCCAGCAAUGAUAUCCACAUUUGUUGAGGUGGAGACCUAGGAGGGAAAAUGAGCAAUUUGGCCCAUUUUUCAGGCCAGUAGCUGCAGCUGUCUGCUCUGUUAAUAUUUUCUUCAGUAUUCAUCACAGGCAAAGCACCGCCUUUACCUCGGAGUGCCUCGAGGAUAGGAAGAUCUUUGCCACCCUGAGACCUCCGUGUGUUGUGGAUAGAUACACAAAUAAACAGAUGGGGAAAAAAAAGA
This 1927-nucleotide long non-coding RNA is filed under the name Mus musculus (house mouse). RNAcentral describes it as "predicted gene 10830, transcript variant 4 (Gm10830)". The record is from RNAcentral. Lineage: Eukaryota; Metazoa; Chordata; Mammalia; Rodentia; Muridae.